UGGGGAAUAUUGCACAAUGGGGGAAACCCUGAUGCAGCGACGCCGCGUGGAGGAAGAAGGUCUUCGGAUUGUAAACUCCUGUUGUUGAGGAAAAAGAGGAUGGUACUCAACAAGGAAGUGACGGCUAACUACGUGCCAGCAGCCGCGGUAAAACGUAGGUCACAAGCGUUGUCCGGAAUUACUGGGUGUAAAGGGAGCGCAGGCGGGUAUGCAAGUUGGGAGUGAAAUACAUGGGCUCAACCCAUGAACUGCUCUCAAAACUGUGUAUCUUGAGUAGUGCAGAGGUAGGCGGAAUUCCCGGUGUAGCGGUGGAAUGCGUAGAUAUCGGGAGGAACACCAGUGGCGAAGGCGGCCUACUGGGCACCAACUGACGCUGAGGCUCGAAAGUGUGGGUAGCAAACAGGAUUAGAUACCCUAGU
RNAcentral lists this ribosomal RNA (419 nucleotides) under uncultured bacterium. Its description in RNAcentral is "bacterial SSU rRNA". It matches the Rfam family "Bacterial small subunit ribosomal RNA", at positions 355 to 791 of the family's 1533-position model. The record is from RNAcentral.